UGUUAGUGGAAGCGUCUGGAAAGGCGCGCGAUACAGGGUGACAGCCCCGUACACAAAAAUGCACAUGCUGUGAGCUCGAUGAGUAGGGCGGGACACGUGGUAUCCUGUCUGAAUAUGGGGGGACCAUCCUCCAAGGCUAAAUACUCCUGACUGACCGAUAGUGAACCAGUACCGUGAGGGAAAGGCGAAAAGAACCCCGGCGAGGGGAGUGAAAAAGAACCUGAAACCGUGUACGUACAAGCAGUGGGAGCACGCUUAGGCGUGUGACUGCGUACCUUUUGUAUAAUGGGUCAGCGACUUAUAUUCUGUAGCAAGGUUAACCGAAUAGGGGAGCCGAAGGGAAACCGAGUCUUAACUGGGCGUUAAGUUGCAGGGUAUAGACCCGAAACCCGGUGAUCUAGCCAUGGGCAGGUUGAAGGUUGGGUAACACUAACUGGAGGACCGAACCGACUAAUGUUGAAAAAUUAGCGGAUGACUUGUGGCUGGGGGUGAAAGGCCAAUCAAACCGGGAGAUAGCUGGUUCUCCCCGAAAGCUAUUUAGGUAGCGCCUCGUGAAUUCAUCUCCGGGGGUAGAGCACUGUUUCGGCAAGGGGGUCAUCCCGACUUACCAACCCGAUGCAAACUGCGAAUACCGGAGAAUGUUAUCACGGGAGACACACGGCGGGUGCUAACGUCCGUCGUGAAGAGGGAAACAACCCAGACCGCCAGCUAAGGUCCCAAAGUCAUGGUUAAGUGGGAAACGAUGUGGGAAGGCCCAGACAGCCAGGAUGUUGGCUUAGAAGCAGCCAUCAUUUAAAGAAAGCGUAAUAGCUCACUGGUCGAGUCGGCCUGCGCGGAAGAUGUAACGGGGCUAAACCAUG
Molecule: ribosomal RNA, 860 nt
Filed under: Escherichia coli
Lineage: Bacteria; Pseudomonadati; Pseudomonadota; Gammaproteobacteria; Enterobacterales; Enterobacteriaceae
Description: partial 23S ribosomal RNA
Rfam family: Bacterial large subunit ribosomal RNA
Source: RNAcentral